AUCCAGCUGACGAGUCCCAAAUAGAACGAAACGUGUGUCCUGGAU
Molecule: non-coding RNA, 45 nt
Organism: Schistosoma rodhaini
Lineage: Eukaryota; Metazoa; Platyhelminthes; Trematoda; Strigeidida; Schistosomatidae
Source: Rfam